AAUAAUAUAAUUUAAUUUUAUUAAUAAGAAUUAAUUGUUAUUUUAUUAAAAUUUUAAAUUAGAAUUUAUUAAGUAAAAUUUUAAAUUUUAAUUAUAUUUAUAAUAUUAAAUGAAGUUUAAAAAUUUAAAUUAUAAACUAGGAUUAGAUACCCUAUUAUUUUAAAUGUAAUUUUUAUAUUAAAUUAGUAGUAGUUAUGUUCUUGAAAAUUAAAAAUUUUGGCGGUAUUUUAGUCUUUUCAGAGGAACCUGUUUUAUAAAUGAUAAUCCACGAUUUAAUUUACUUUUGUUUUUAAUUUGUAUAUCAUCGUAAUUAAGUAUUUUUUUAGAAUUAUUAAUAUUUAAAUUUUUUAAAAAAAAAAUUAAUCAGAUCACGGUGCAAUUUAUAUAAAAGUUUUAAUGGGUUACAAUAAAUUUAUUUAUGGAAAAUUUUUAUUAUUAGAAAUUUGAAUUUGGAUUUGAAAGUAAGUUUAAUAAAUUAAUUAAAUUGAUUUUGGCUCUAAAAU
Molecule: ribosomal RNA, 503 nt
Filed under: Trirhabda bacharidis
Lineage: Eukaryota; Metazoa; Arthropoda; Insecta; Coleoptera; Chrysomelidae
Description: partial 12S ribosomal RNA
Source: RNAcentral